Molecule: long non-coding RNA, 2782 nt
Filed under: Mytilus galloprovincialis (Mediterranean mussel)
Lineage: Eukaryota; Metazoa; Mollusca; Bivalvia; Mytilida; Mytilidae
Source: RNAcentral
AUUAUGACAUACUUGAAGUAAAGUUUUACACUCAGGAUUAUCAACUUAAAAUCAAUGGCCAGAGACAUUUCAGCAUGUUCACUCUUGAAAACAAAUGUUCAAAGUUUUGCGGAAAUUAUGAUAGACAGAGAGGUUUUAAGUGGCAUGUAUCAACAUGCAUUAAUAUACAUUAAACAACAAAAUAUCAUCGACACAAGAUCUACAAAAAAAUCCAGGUGAGUCAUUUAGAUUCUUUACAUUCGUUGUUAAUAGUACAAGUAUACACAUCCUUUUUAUCGUAUUAGUCAUGUAUGGAAAGGAAGCCUAGAUCAGUUAUUUUAUUUUGUCAAAUUCUUUCAAGACAACUGUAUAAUUUAAGGGAGAAAUUGGAGGCAACAGUAGUUAGACUAAGUUAACUCGUAAAUAGAUUAGGAAUAGACCAUUCAAGAUGUGAUCAAUCAAGAUGUCUCUAGUGAGAUGAGACUGAGAGCAAAAGUUCAAAAAUGUGUACUUUUAUAUCUUUUGAAAAAAUGCUGAAUAAGCAUUCUAUGACAUGGUAUAGCUUUAAUUAUUAAACUAUUCUAUAUUCGUCUUAUAAUGAACUAAACAUGUUGCUCUUUUUAAAGUAAUAUAAAAAAGACAAAAGAUUGCAAACUCAAAAGCUGAAAACAAAAUAAGCGUGAAAGGAAAAAUGACAAAAAGACAACAACUCGUUACAAAGAAAAUUUAGAUUAAGCAAUAUACACCCUACCAAAAAUCUGCGACGAUUUCAGGUGCUGCUGUAGUAUCGUUUAGAUAUUAUUUACCAGCAAUUUAAAAAAAAUAAUAAAUACAUAUUUGAACAAUACAACAAAGAAUUUUUCAUCACAGGAUCUUGAUAAAGGAAUUCGAAUGUGGAAUGGUGGUAGCUAACCACGGAUCCAAGAAAAGACACGUAUAGGUCAAUAAACAUGAUAUUAAAAUAGAGAUGUGGUAUAUUAAUUUCAAGUGAGAUGUCUGUUUAUUACAAGCUAUAGCUACUGGUAGAAAAAGAUCCAGUAAAAUUAAAUUUUAUCAAGGAUGGGAGAGGACUUGUUAUCUGAAAGACAGUGAAAACACAAAAUCCUUCAACAAUUUAUGAAAAGCGUAUAUGACAGACACGAACCAACGACAACCACUGAACUUAGGGCUCUUUAAUUGCUUGAAACAGUUACAUAAAGAAUUUGGCAGGGUUAAAAAUGUCUGUGUGCGCUCAUUUCUCCAAAAACUAGCACAGCACAAGACCAAACUAUAAAAAAAUCAGUUGAAAGAUCGGAUUAUCUUUCAAUACUAUCAUUGACGAAAUCAGAUGCGGAUCCCGCCAGUGGCGGAUCCAGAAAUUUUCAUAAGUGGGGGCCCACUGACUGACCUAAGAGGGGGCCCGCUCCGGUCACGCUUCAGUGAUUCCCUAUAUAAGCAACCAAAUUUUUUUCCAAAAAGGGGGGGCCCGGGCCCCCUGGGCCCCCCCCCCAAAUCCGCCUCUGCCCGCCUUUCUGCAAAAGGGUGAUCCAAACCACGGAAUACUCUGAAAUGUCCAAAAAAUAAAAAUAAAAUCGAACAAAAAAAAAAAACUCCCUCUCCCUGCAUACCGGAUCCGCUAAUGCAGGCUGCAUCCAUUAAAAUAAAAGCUUCAAACAUAAGUAACACUUUUGAGUGUGUAAUUUAGGUCUAAAAAAAUGACAAUACCAAAUAACUAACUGUUAUUAAAUCGUAACAGAAAAAGGAGAGAAAAACCAUGCCAGACAUAUAUUGCUUUGGAUUGCAGUAGUUUUAAUAAAUAUUUAUAUGACAAAAGUAUCAUGGAAAACAUAAACUGCACAUGAAUGUGGCAGAAGAGAUAGUAGUAAGCAUUAUCUACUUAAGAGUUAUAAUUAGUCAUAUGCCACUAGAAACUAUUACAGAAAAAUGCAAUGAGUGUGUAGGUAAAGGUAAUACCUUUGACCAGCUUGCUUGCUAGCUGGACCAUGAAGUCAUACAUGUAACAAGGUAAAGUAGAUUACCCUCCUUUCGGAGUAGUCUAGUUAGAUUUCUACUGGGACAAUGGCUGUGAAACUUUCAGACAGGUAAGACUACAUAUCAGAAAAAGUACAUGUGAAAAUUCAGGUAGCAAAUAUUGAUUCUUCGAUGUUUAUUUGACAUUUUUUGAUCGAUUUACACAGAGCUCCACCAUUCUAAGGAAAACGUUUGAAUGCAAAUAUCUUUUUUAUUAUUUUAGUGGUUCAAAUUUACAUAAAGAAUGUUUUAGCUACCAAAACUUGAAGAAGAAACGUUAUAUAGUAACAUAGUUCAUCAAAGUUUCCAUCAAGCAACUUGUUAUUUUGCAAAUGUCGGACACCCGCUUGACAGUCUCCCGAAUGACCAAAUUAUUAGAAAACCGUAUAGUUCCGUUCCCACACUGUGGAAGGGAUACGUUCUAAAUUGGAGGGAUUAACUGGUGGUCUGACAUCUAAAGUGUCACAAAUUAUUCUCUCGAAGGGCUAUCUAACAAGAAUAAGAACACGCUGAAAGAACCUGUGCAUCAACACUAUAGAAUUGUUUAGGAUGUACUUAGGUAAGGUUUUGGAAUAAGUGUCAAAUGUACGGACUCCUUGGUGUUUUUCCAUAUGAUACAAUGUAAAAUAUUUUGCCCCAUAACACCUAUUUUAUCUUGAACAUAAGACUUAAUAGCUCAUAAAAGGUCAUUAGACAAAAUUUAAGCAGAUUCUUGAUUUUCUUUCUUUUGAUUUGAGACCCAAAUAAUAUCGAUGAAAAUAUUAGGUAAAAGUCCGAGUCAGCCUUUUCCCGC